RNAcentral lists this transfer RNA (67 nucleotides) under human gut metagenome. It matches the Rfam family "tRNA". From Rfam's summary of the family: Transfer RNA (tRNA) molecules are approximately 80 nucleotides in length. Their secondary structure includes four short double-helical elements and three loops (D, anti-codon, and T loops). RNAcentral also lists the same sequence under 1 other name. The record is from RNAcentral.
GAAUGUAGUUUAGUGGCAAAACGAAAGCUUCCCAAGCUUUAGUUGUGGGUUCGAUUCCCAUCAUUCG